UAUUCAGCCACACAUAUAUAGAAAUAAGAGAAAAUAAUCGGUUUCUUCUCAUCUCGAUCAACGAAAUCCUGAUUUGACGAGACGAGAAGCGAGAGGAGGGUAGUGGAAAAGAAGAACUGGUGGGACGUCGCCUUCCCGUCACUCCUCCCCGAAUCUUCACGACUUCUUUAUUCUGCCCGUCUUUCUU
Molecule: non-coding RNA, 187 nt
Organism: Caenorhabditis elegans
Lineage: Eukaryota; Metazoa; Nematoda; Chromadorea; Rhabditida; Rhabditidae
Source: Ensembl